GCGGAACUCUCCGACAUACCCCAGCUUCUCCCACCAACUCCUUUCUCAUUCUUUCUUUCUUACACGCUUCAAAUUUUACCCUUUUCCUUGCAAGAUUAUUCCUCAUCAAACACAUUAAGCAAAUCAAUCUUAGUUACGCCGAAGAACAAUGGCAGGAUCAAAUUUCCAGAUUUUAAAGUCAAGAGCCUUUGAUGAGAAUGAUAUGUUAAUGGGUGCCUUGCUUUCUCAAAAAUCCGGUACUGAUCUUAUGCAGAAUUGUGAUCUGCCUCCACCAUUGAAGGUGUUUUCUGGGUCAGAUAAGACUGUCAUCUCACCGACGAACAGGUUUUCGGGGAUUAUGGGUAGAGAAGAAGAUAACAAUGGUUUUGAUAUUUAUGGAAGUGAGAAUGAGAAGUUGGAGCUUUUCAAGGCAUUGAGAUUGUCACAGACAAGGGCAAGAGAAGCAGAAAGGAAAGCUGCAAGUUUGAUUAAGGAGAGGGAUUGUAUUUCCAAUGCUUUGUUGCGAGAGUCCAUGCAGCUAUUUGCCUAUCGUCAGUGGGUGAAGUUGCUUGAAGUUCAAGUCUUCAAGUUGCAAUCAGAAAGGCAACGACAAGAAAAGAAAUGGCAGUGUAGCUGUGGAAGAUCAGAGAGGGUGAAGGAAUUGUUUAACGAGGGAAAGGAUUGUGAGGAUGGUGGUGGUGGUGGUGGUGUUGGUGGUGGUGGAAUCGCCGGGCUUCACCUCCGCCAUUCGAAUUACCUUACGAUCUCCUCUUCUCUUCAGCUCUCAUUCUUCUCUUCGCUGAGCCUUUUGUGCGUUUCUUCUCCUUAAUUUUUUUUCUACUUUUUUUUUUCUGUGACUUGUAGACAUGAAAAUCUCAUCUGGGUGUUAGUUGGUUUCUGUUCCGAUGAGGCAAGGAGGUGAACAUUUUGAGGAAUUGUAAUCUGUGCCUGUUUCAUUUAAUUUUGCUUUUUCAGGAUGCUUUUUGUUUGUGUUGAAAUAUGAUAUUAGUUAUGGAUUCAGGUUAUGGGCCAUGGCAGGUAGUUAUUAUCAUUAUAUUUCUAUCAACUAUUUGGAACAUUUCAUUUGUUAGAAUUAAAAUUAAAAUGAAUGCAACGGUUGAUUAUCCUAUUUAUCAUUAUUUGUUUAUUUAUUUUUCUUUGGGUCGUCUGAAUUUGGUGCUAUUUGUGGAUUGAAGUUUUGUGAUAAAAGUAGGUUUUGAUGCUCUUGAUUAUUCUCAGAAAUGUGUUUUUUCCCCUAUUAGGCUUAAAGAAAUGGUUUCAGAUAUCGGAAGCUAAAAAAUUUUUUGCAGGUUUGACAUUGAUUUUUGUCAUUUCUGAUUCUUUCCUCAUAAAUUGGUCCACCUAAUCUUGAUGCUAAAACUGCCAUUGAUUACUCUUAUUCAAUAUGACAACAAACUCAUCAUAAAAUUUUUCUUUUAUGUAGCAUAUGGUGAAAAGUGAUCCAUAUAGUUGAAACCAACUAUUUUGCAAUUAAGGCUUAGCUAUUGUUGUUGUUGUUUAUAGAAUGGUUAUAAAUGCACUUCAGAAGAGUAUUGAAAGUUUCCUUUAGUUGAUUUAUACUUUAUAUAAUUUGGAUGUUAGGGAUGUCGAUUUCAUCGAGUCAUCAAAGGUUUUAUGGUGCAAGGUGGGGAUAUCUCAGCAGGAGAUGGUACCGGUGGUGAAUCUAUUUAUGGCUUGAAAUUUGACGAUGAGAAUUUUGAACUGAAACAUGAAAGGAAAGGCAUGCUAUCUGUGGCCAAUGCU
Molecule: unclassified non-coding RNA, 1743 nt
Filed under: Hevea brasiliensis (rubber tree)
Lineage: Eukaryota; Viridiplantae; Streptophyta; Magnoliopsida; Malpighiales; Euphorbiaceae
Source: RNAcentral